Molecule: transfer RNA, 76 nt
Filed under: Oscillospiraceae bacterium
Lineage: Bacteria; Bacillati; Bacillota; Clostridia; Eubacteriales; Oscillospiraceae
Description: tRNA-Gln
Rfam family: tRNA
About the family: Transfer RNA (tRNA) molecules are approximately 80 nucleotides in length. Their secondary structure includes four short double-helical elements and three loops (D, anti-codon, and T loops). Further hydrogen bonds mediate the characteristic L-shaped molecular structure. tRNAs have two regions of fundamental functional importance: the anti-codon, which is responsible for specific mRNA codon recognition, and the 3' end, to which the tRNAs corresponding amino acid is attached (by aminoacyl-tRNA synthetases). tRNAs cope with the degeneracy of the genetic code in two manners: having more than one tRNA (with a specific anti-codon) for a particular amino acid; and 'wobble' base-pairing, i.e. permitting non-standard base-pairing at the 3rd anti-codon position.
Source: RNAcentral
UGGGCUGUAGCCAAGCGGUAAGGCAACGGGCUCUGACCCCGUGAUUUCAUCGGUUCAAAUCCGAUCAGCCCAGCCA